This 492-nucleotide ribosomal RNA is filed under the name uncultured bacterium. Its description in RNAcentral is "partial 16S ribosomal RNA". It matches the Rfam family "Bacterial small subunit ribosomal RNA", at positions 29 to 507 of the family's 1533-position model. The record is from RNAcentral.
AGUGAACGCUGGCGGUAGGCCUAACACAUGCAAGUCGAACGGCAGCACAGUAAGAGCUUGCUCUUACGGGUGGCGAGUGGCGGACGGGUGAGGAAUACAUCGGAAUCUACUUUUUCGUGGGGGAUAACGUAGGGAAACUUACGCUAAUACCGCAUACGACCUACGGGUGAAAGCAGGGGAUCUUCGGACCUUGCGCGAUUGAAUGAGCCGAUGUCGGAUUAGCUAGUUGGCGGGGUAAAGGCCCACCAAGGCGACGAUCCGUUGCUGGUCGGAGAGGAUGGUCGGCCACACUGGAACGGGGACACGGUCCAUACGCCUACGGGAGGCAGCAGUGGGGAAUAUUGGACAAUGGGCGCAAGCCUGAUCCAGCCAUACCGCGUGUGUGAAGAAGGCCUUCGGGUUGUAAAGCCCUUUUGUUGGGAAAGAAAAGCAGCAGGUUAAUACCCCGCUGUUCUGACGGUACCCAAAGAAUAAGCACCGGCUAACUUCGUG